RNAcentral lists this small RNA (82 nucleotides) under Flavobacterium sinopsychrotolerans. RNAcentral's name for it is "Flavo-1 RNA". It matches the Rfam family "Flavo-1 RNA". The record is from RNAcentral. Lineage: Bacteria; Pseudomonadati; Bacteroidota; Flavobacteriia; Flavobacteriales; Flavobacteriaceae.
CCCUAGCCCUGAUAGCAGUGAAAAUCCUUUAUUGUUUUUUCUUUGAAAAUAAUAAAGAUUGAAACGAAUAGCAGGAUUAAGC